ACACUCCUGCGGGAGGCAGCAGUGGGGAAUUUUGGACAAUGGGCGAAAGCCUGAUCCAGCCAUGCCGCGUGCAGGAUGAAGGCCUUCGGGUUGUAAACUGCUUUUGUACGGAACGAAACGGCCUUUUCUAAUAAAGAGGGCUAAUGACGGUACCGUAAGAAUAAGCACCGGCUAACUACGUGCCAGCAGCCGCGGUAAUACGUAGGGUGCAAGCGUUAAUCGGAAUUACUGGGCGUAAAGCGUGCGCAGGCGGUUAUGUAAGACAGUUGUGAAAUCCCCGGGCUCAACCUGGGAACUGCAUCUGUGACUGCAUAGCUAGAGUACGGUAGAGGGGGAUGGAAUUCCGCGUGUAGCAGUGAAAUGCGUAGAUAUGCGGAGGAACACCGAUGGCGAAGGCAAUCCCCUGGACCUGUACUGACGCUCAUGCACGAAAGCGUGGGGAGCAAACAGGAUUAGAUACCCGGGUAGUCCCAUGA
Molecule: ribosomal RNA, 476 nt
Filed under: uncultured organism
Description: partial 16S ribosomal RNA
Rfam family: Bacterial small subunit ribosomal RNA
Source: RNAcentral